This 22-nucleotide microRNA is filed under the name Danio rerio (zebrafish). RNAcentral describes it as "dre-miR-26a-2-3p". Its record names the gene dre-miR-26a-2-3p. Lineage: Eukaryota; Metazoa; Chordata; Actinopteri; Cypriniformes; Danionidae. RNAcentral also lists the same sequence under 2 other names. The record is from miRBase by way of RNAcentral.
CCUAUUCAUGAUUACUUGCACU